GCAGGAAUCAAUUGGGUUAUAGGAUUGAAGCUUAUUGUCAUGUUAUUGUCCUCCUUAAGGACUAUUGCUAUUCAUCUUUCUUUCGUAUUGCAGAAUGCCUCCGAGAUCUAUUAUCUGUGCGCACGUUUGGCGGUAUAAAACUGGUGUUCAUGUGUAUUUAAAGUACAAUUUUUUUUAUUGUUUUCUUUUGUUGUUCAACCCUAAUUAUUGAUUUUUU
This is a non-coding RNA of Pelobates cultripes (western spadefoot toad), 217 nucleotides long. Lineage: Eukaryota; Metazoa; Chordata; Amphibia; Anura; Pelobatidae. The record is from the annotation of a GenBank genome assembly.